RNAcentral lists this ribosomal RNA (1089 nucleotides) under Triticum aestivum (bread wheat). RNAcentral describes it as "partial small subunit ribosomal RNA". Lineage: Eukaryota; Viridiplantae; Streptophyta; Magnoliopsida; Poales; Poaceae. The record is from RNAcentral.
AUGGUGGUGCGGGGCCAGCAAGAUCUGGACAUCAACAUCGUCCGCUGGGGGCUCCACCACCUCCUCGACGGCGGCGCCUCUCCCGGCGGCGGCGGCUGCGUGCACCGCCCUCAAUCCCCCACCACCGACUACGCCCCGCCGCCGCCGCAGCCCCACCGCGCCCGCGCCCUUCUCGACGGCUACGACAUGGCCCCCGCACCCGCCCCCGAGGUCAGGGUCGACGCGGUCGAGAACGACGAGGUCAUCGCGCACGCGCUGCAGGAGGAGCUCGCGCAGGUCGCCAUGGCCGAGGCGUCCGGGGCCGUCGGCGGCAGCGAGCCCGAGCGCCGCGCCACCGUCCUCGCGCAGCAGUGGUUCCGCCCCGAGGUCGUCAGCCAUCUGCCCUCAGCACCGCCGUAUGUAGAAGAAGCAGAGGGCUCAAGUCCACGUUCGAGCCCCGAAGAAGAUCGCAAUGCGCGCGACGGCCACGGGUGCUCGAUAGAGCUCGUGGACGAUUUCUCUGCUCUCGACGGCGAAGUCGGCAAAAGACUGAAUGACAUGGUCCCUGUCCCUCAUGUCCCUAAAACAAACGGAGACAUUCCUUCUUUUGAUGAAGCCUUUUCAGAUCACCGAAGACUUCUUGACAGGUUGGUGCUGUAUGGUCUGGUUGAGCUCAAGGUUAACGGAGAUGGCAAUUGUCAGUUUCGGGCAUUGUCUGAUCAAUUCUACCGAACUCCUGAACACCAUAGAUUUGUACGGCAACAAGUGGUCAAUCAGCUUCAGUCUCAUCCUGAGAUAUAUGCUGGAUAUGUCCCUAUGGAUUACAGAGAAUAUCUUAAGAAGAUGCCAAAGAAUGGAGAGUGGGGUGACCAUGUUACACUGCAGGCUGCUGCAGACUUGUAUGGUGUGAAGAUUUUCAUCCUAACAUCAUUCAGAGAUACAUGCUACAUUGAAAUUCUCCCAGUCGUUCAAAAAUCAAAUAGAGUUAUAUGUUUGAGUUUUUGGGCCGAGGUGCACUACAACUCGAUAUAUCCGGAAGGAGAGUUGCCCAUCGUGGAGAACAGAAAGAAGAGCUUGUCGGAUCGACGGUCGUUUUGUUCGACCAUGUGA